Bacilli bacterium VT-13-104 is the source of this 118-nucleotide regulatory RNA element. It matches the Rfam family "SAM riboswitch aptamer (S box leader)". Rfam says of the family: The SAM riboswitch is found upstream of a number of genes which code for proteins involved in methionine or cysteine biosynthesis in Gram-positive bacteria. The SAM riboswitch acts at the level of transcription termination control. The record is from Rfam. NCBI's taxonomy places the organism in Bacteria, Bacillati, Bacillota, Bacilli.
CUCUUAUCAAGAGCGGUGGAGGGAAUAGGCCCUUUGAAGCCCGGCAACCUGAAAGUUAGUAACUCUUACUUUUCUACGGUGCUAAAUCCUACAGGUCACAUGAACUGGAAGAUAAGAG